AUUGAACGCUGGCGGCAUGCUUUACACAUGCAAGUCGAACGGCAGCGCGGGCUUCGGCCUGGCGGCGAGUGGCGAACGGGUGAGUAAUGCAUCGGAACGUGCCCCGUAGUGGGGGAUAGCCCGGCGAAAGCCGGAUUAAUACCGCAUACGACCUGCGGGUGAAAGCGGGGGACCGAAAGGCCUCGCGCUAUUGGGGCGGUCGAUGUCGGAUUAGCCAGUUGGUUGGGUAAAGGCUUACCAAGGCGACGAUCCGUAGCUGGUCUGAGAGGACGACCAGCCCCACUGGGACUGAGACACGGCCCAGACUCCUACGGGAGGCAGCAGUGGGGAAUUUUGGACAAUGGGGGCAACCCUGAUCCAGCCAUGCCGCGUGCGGGAAGAAGGCCUUCGGGUUGUAAACCGCUUUUGUUCGGGAAGAAAUCCUCUGGGCUAAUACCCCGGGGGGAUGACGGUACCGGAAGAAUAAGCACCGGCUAACUACGUG
This 484-nucleotide ribosomal RNA is filed under the name uncultured bacterium. Its description in RNAcentral is "partial 16S ribosomal RNA". It matches the Rfam family "Bacterial small subunit ribosomal RNA", at positions 28 to 507 of the family's 1533-position model. The record is from RNAcentral.